GGCGUUCAAUAGGAUCCCCUAGGCAGUCUACAGGAUCCCCUUUUGUCUGAACAUUAUAUAUUUACUAUAGAACAUUCUACAGGAACCCCUGUUGUUUGUUUAUCAUGUAUAUACUAAAGGGCGUUCUACAGGAUACCAUGGGCGGUCUACAGGAUCCCCUGUUGUCUUUACAUUUUAUAUCUACUAUAGGACGUUCUAUAGGAUCCCUAUAUUGUUUGUUUAUUAUUUAUAUACUAAAGGGCGUUCUAUUGGAUUCCCUUGGCGGUCUACAGGAUGCCCUGUUGAUUGUUUUUUUAUGUUUAUAUUAUAGGGCUUUCUACAGGAUCCACUGGGCGGUCUAUAGGAUCCCCAUUUGUUUAAAAAUAUAUAUCUACUAUAAUACGUUCUAAAGUAUCCCCCGUUGUUUGUUUUUCAUUUAUAUACUAAAGGGCCUUCUACGGGAUCCCCUGGGUGGUCUACAGGAUCCCCUGUUUUCUCAACAUAAUAAAUCUACUAUAAGACGUUCUAUAGGAUCCCCUAUUGUUUGUUAAUCAUGUAUAUACUAAAGGGCGUUCUAAAGGAUCCCUUGGGCGGUCUAAAGGAUACCCUGUUGUCUUUACAUUAUAUAUGUACUAAAUGGCGUUAUAUAUGACCCCCUGUUGAUUGUUUUUCAUGUUUAUACUAUAGGGCUUUCUAUAUAAUCCCUUGGGCGGUCUGCCGGAAACUUUGGAUGCUCUGCAGGAAUCUCUGUUU
This 732-nucleotide long non-coding RNA is filed under the name Mytilus galloprovincialis (Mediterranean mussel). Lineage: Eukaryota; Metazoa; Mollusca; Bivalvia; Mytilida; Mytilidae. The record is from RNAcentral.